RNAcentral lists this long non-coding RNA (29438 nucleotides) under Capsella rubella. Its description in RNAcentral is "long non-coding RNA (CRUB_LNC002367)". Lineage: Eukaryota; Viridiplantae; Streptophyta; Magnoliopsida; Brassicales; Brassicaceae. The record is from RNAcentral.
UUAAACGCACUACUACUUCUUGAGCCUUUUCCACUCCACUCCACAAAAUGGCUCCAAGAACCUCCCUUGCUCUUUUCCUUUCUCUCAACCUCCUCUUCUUCACUUACACCUCUGCGACAUGUUACAAGUGCCUCCCCACCCCAACUACCCCGACCAUCCCGACCAUCCCGACAACCCCGACCACCCCGACUACCCCGACCACCCCAAGCACAGGUACUUGUCCUAGAGAUGCCCUACAGCUCGGUGUUUGCGCUAAUGUGCUCAAGCUAGUGGACCUAAAAUUGGGAAACCCACCCGUUAAGCCAUGCUGCUCUCUUAUCCAAGGCUUGGCUGACCUUGAGGCUGCGGUCUGCCUUUGCACUGCUCUCAAGGUUAACAUUCUUGGAAUCAACCUUAACCUUCCCAUCGAUCUCAGCGUUCUCCUCAAUGUUUGCAGUAGAAAAGCUCCAAAGAACUUCCAGUGCGCUUAAGUUUAAAACAUAGCUACUAAAUAAAUGAUUCAUACAGUUUAUGAAUUUUUGAACCUAUUUUCUUAUCAAGCUAUAUUUUUCUUGUUGUAAUUUCCCCGUAUUGUUUAUGAUGAACGUACUCUCCCAUGCAAUAAUGGGUAAUGCAUGGGUUUGUGUGUGCAUGUACUUCUUUGCUUUGUUGUUCCUCCAUCUCUUCUUUAAUUUGUAAGUGUAUUUUUUGAAUUUGAUUAAUAAAAGUAUUAAUCGAUGUCGUUGUCUAUAUUGCAAUCUUCGGUGUCAGCAUUAAGACAUGCAUGUACUGAAGUACAUCCGACCAUUUUGACAAAAGGCAACAUACAGUAUUUUGGCAAGAAUUGUGUGGAAGUUCCUGAGAAUUAGAUUUUUGGUCAUGCACACGUGUAUUUAGGAGUAUUCAUAUUAAGAAGAAUAUACAAACAGUAUUCAGCGAUUAAUUAAUUCUUCAUCAAAAAGCCAUGCAUGGUCUACAGCGUCAAUAGCAACAUUAUUGAUAUGGUCUAUAAGAAGGUAACUUGAUAUUGGUGAUACCAUAAAAAGUUAUAAUUAAACUUUGUUAACAGGCCGGUCCAAUGUUUCCUUUUCUUGGAUGCCUUACACACAACUAAGAAACUAAGCGGGUUAAGUCAGCUCUCACAGUAAGAUCGAAUAGUACCAUUAUUGAUGGUCUUUUACACAAUUCUUAGCAUAAAAUUUUCUUAAAAAAUCACGAAGAAAAAUGGCCUAACUAAAUCCAAAAGCUGGUUAAACUUCAAAUAAAUAAGAGUAAAUAAAUUUUAGAAUACACAGAUUUUAUAUGAACGAUAUAUAGCUGUAGAGAGUUUGAAUUAUGAUCUUUCAUAUAUUUAUACAUGAUAUAUAUAUAUAUAUAUGUAUAGAUGUUAUAAUUUUUAUAAUCAAAAUUAAUCAUUGUUAUUUAAAGAAUGAGACAUUUAUUUUUCAAUGAGGGAUUUUUGACAUAAAUAAUGACUUCCUAACUAUAUAUCUUCACAAAAUUUCAUUAUAACUUUUUUUUAGCUCAAUGCAAUAAGAUCGGUUUCAUGUAGUUUUCAUUUUUAAAACUAAAAAAUCAUUUUCUUUCAUUUUUAACUUCUGCCCUGAUGAGAAUUCAAAAGACAUACCAAUACUCUAGAUAGUUUGUAUAUGUCAAUUAAACUUUUGGCCAGUUUGAAUUUUUAUGUGUUAACAAAUAUUAUGAAGUGUGAACUAUGUUUUUUCUGUAGCAAAAAAUAAUUAUGAAAACCUAAGCAUCAGAAUUUACGUGGUAUUAUCUUUGGACAUCCAUAUAUGUCGGGUCAACUUUCAAAAACAAAAAGAUACAGCAAAAGUUCAACUUUGAUCAUUGAUUUUAUGCCAUUACUAUAAGUCUAUAUGUCUGUAUGUAGUCUUUACAAUUAUAUUUUGUUUUAUUCCUUUCGUAAGAUCAUUUCCAAUAUCAUCUUAUUAUAUAUAAUUUUUUUAAUUCAAAAUAGAACAUAGAGUUAAUCUUUAAUGCACGACUCUAUAUAUUUACUCUAUAAUAGUGUAGCCGAAAGAUUUAAGAUGAAACAUGCAUAUAUUAAUCUUCUGUAAAUCAUAUGGUGACAUAUAAAUAAUUAUGUUCAUUAAGAGUUAACGUCGUGCCUAAGUGCUUUAAUUUUAAAAUAUUGUAUUCGUACAAACUUUAUUUAGAAAUACUAUUGCAUUGUCGCUAAUUAAAGAGAAAUAGUGAAAUACCUUAUAUUAAAAAAGUAUAAUAAGAAAUAAAGAAUAAAAUUGACCAAUCAAUUCUAUAGUAAAGAACGAUUUGGCAUGAUGAUUAUCAUAUUAUUACAAGCCUGUCGAAGGAAUAACUAAAUUCUCGAUCUCCCGUAUAGCUAUUACCCCUGAACCAUACAUUAGCAUGUUCGACCUUAUUUAUAUAUAAUCCGAGUAUAACAGAUGAUACCACUAAUACAGGAAACUAUAUGUUAUUUAUUCAGCAAAAUGAUUAAAAUAAUAUGAUCUCGCACAUAUAUAUCAGUCAAUAUGAAUCAUAGAAACUAAUAUACUGUCCGACAAAGAAAUAACGACGAUGAUCUUGUCGUUAUAACACCUUAAUCUAUCUAUAUAUAUAAAGUUAAUUUUUUCUCUCUUCUCCUUAAGCCACAUCAUCAUCCACCUCAUUUUAUUAUUUAAUUUUAAAAAUUAAUUAUACCAUUUUAUCAUUUAAUUUUAAUAUUUAAACCUAUGUAAAUAAGUUUUUCCAAAAUGAAUAUGAAAGGUCUUUUUAUAUAUUAUAUAUUAUAAAACUAAAAAAGAUAAUUGAUUAAGAGUUAAAAAAACUUACUAAUUAUCGAUUAUACUAACAAAUAUAAUGUAUAAUAUAAAUCCCACAUCAUCAUUCAUCUUAAUUUUUUAUAUUGAUUUAGAAUUACAACACUUUAGUUUUUAAUUUCUUUUCUACCUCAUAACUUAGCUUUUAUUUUAUUUUAUAUUCAAUAGUGGUUUUAAGAAAAUAAAUAAUAUAGUAAAAACAUUUAUGUCCAAAAUAAAUAAAACAAGUAUCUAUUUAUAAAGUAAUGAUCAAUUUUUUGAUUAAUGGGGCUAAAUAUAAAAACAAAAUACAAAGCAAGGAUAUUUAUACUAUACAGAUAGAUAUACCACUAAAUUGAUGUCAUCCGAAGCCACCUCAAACGAAAACACAACCGAUUUUAGGCAUAAGAAGUAGAAAAAAACUAAAAAGUAAAAUGAAAACACUUGGAUAAAUAAAUAAGUGGAUUCACCAGAAUAAUUUGGCCUACAAGAAUUGAAUGCUUUUGAAAUGUAAGGUUCUAACAGCUACUAUUUGACCUAAAUCAAAGUUAAACAAAUAAAAAUAAACAUUUCAUAUACUAAAUUAAUACCAAAACAACAGUAAAAACAAAAAAAAUAAACAAAAAACAAAGAAAAAUCAAACUAUAAAUUUUAAAAUAUAAAAUUUAAAAUAUAAAAAACAAUUAUAAAACUCCCGCGCGCAGCGCGGGUCAACAACUAGUAUACAUAUAAAGUUAGCUUUUUCUCUCUUCUCAUUCUCAUGAUGCCACCUAAGCAUCUACCUAAGCCACAUUUUGUUUUACAUUAAAAUAUAUUUUAAACAUUCAUUUAGUGCAUAUUUAUGCUACUUAUUUAAUUAAUAGAAAAUUAUAUAAAUAAAAAUAAAUUAUGUAAAUAAAUGAAAUGUUAAAUAAGAAAUACUUCCAUUUUUAUUAGUUAGUGGUAAUAAUAUAAUUCAACUUUCAUUUUAAAUUGAUCAUAGUUUAAAAUUUUAAAUGUGUUACUGAGUUUAAGAAUGUAAGUAAAUUUUAAAUUUAUGGUAGAAUAAAAACAACAUUUAUGUAAUUGUAUAUAUAAAAUUUUAAAGGGAAAAAGUAAAAUUGAAAGUGAAAUAUUAGUUUAUAACCUGAUCAAUAAGAAAAUGCUAUUAAUCCAAAUUUAAAUAUUAAAAGAUAAUAAUUCAAGAGAAAAUAACUAUAAUAUGUUUUGAAAAUCAAUAAAAAAUUAAAUAUCACAAUAUGAAUAAAAAAUUAACAAAAAAAUUAUAAACCUCCCGCGCGUAACGCGGGUCAACUGCUAGUAUAUGAUAUAAUUCUCUAACAAUUAUAUUACAUAAUUUAUUUGGAAAUUGCUAUCUUUCCAAAAAAUUUCUUUUUUUAAAUAAUCAAAGAGGUUUUGGGCCGAAACUCAUACAUCUUCUCAGGUCCAAAACCAAAGCAUAUUAUAUGGUUUCGUCCCAAGCGCUAAUCGAACCAGCGAUCUUCUAAGCGUUUGACAGAAAUCUUUACUAAUUGAUCUAUUACCAUUUGGUUAUCUUUUCAAAUUUGAAAAGUUGCAAUUUGUAAGUACUCGGAUAUUUUUAAGUUCGAUAAAUUCAGAUUAUAUAUAUCUUUUUAAGUUAGACAAGAACUUUUUUUUUGUUUUUUUCACACUAUGAAGCUGACCUUUUGAUGCCAAAUUUUUGCUAAACCCAUCUAAACAAUACUAACAGUGAAAUAUUUUUAACCAAAAGAAAAAUCGAAACUUGUCUAUCUGUCCAUCUUGUAACCUCUGUUAUACGGAAUGAUUUGAUAAGUCCAACAAUUUGAGAUUCUUAAAAAUAUGAUCUACUAAAAAUGAAGUCAGAAACUUUGUCUUUGUGUGAUAUUAGUCUGCCUCGUGACAAAGGAUAAGAUAUUUUCAAAUGGACAAGCGUACGUGAAGGAAUAAGGAAAGUCAUUUCAAAUUUUAGUCUUCAGUAACAAAUGUUUAUUAAUAUAAUUACGAGAAAACAGAAUCCUAGAAGUCUAGAACAUAUAUUCAUGCUAAUGUAGGUAAUAUAUUUGAUUAUAACUUGGUGCUAUACUACUAACUAUGGAAUAAUUGUUCUUUACUAACGCAAAAAUAAUAGUGUGUAAUCCAAAAAGUUACAAAAUCGAAUGACAACUGAUCAUACAUAUAAAAAUUCACACAAAAAUAAAAACAUGUUGGGUUCAAUUCUUUAACCCAAACCAACUUUUCCAUUAGUAUGAUAUUGUCUGCUUUAAGCCUAUAACUCAAGGCCGCACGGAUUUGUUAGACUCCUUCCCAAAAAGUCUCAUACUAAUUGGAGUUGGAGUCGACUUAUAUAUUAGAAACUUCUCUUUCUAAUCUUCCGAUAUGGGAUAUUGGUUUGUAUUCCAAUAAAGCAUACAUAAAAAAAAUUAGUCUACUACAUCUAAGUUAUUAAAUAAUAUUGGAACCAUGUACUCUUCGAGAUUACCAGCUAAUUUGAUCAAUGACAGUUAAAUUUUUAAAAAUUAAAUCGUAUAUAUAAGAAAAUUAGUCUAUUAAUUAAUCCACUAUCAAAGACAAAUUAUCAAUUAAACCUUCACAAUUCUCUCCUAAAGAUAGACACUAAAAACUUAAUAUUUCUCUCCACCCAUCUCAAACAAACUUAAACGCAAUACUACUUCGUGAGCCUUUUCAACUGCAAAAACAAAUGGCUCCCUCUCCCUUGUACUCUUCUUUUCUCUCAAAUUAUAAAUGCCAUUAAGAAAAAACUUUGCUUUUUGAAUAUGAUCUUUUAAGAAUUAGCAUUGCAUGCCUCUAUCAUUACCACCACAUUAUAUAUAUAUAUAUAUAUAUAUAUAUAUAUAUAUAUAUUACCUGGUUUCUACUAUUUAAACCAUAUCAAUUUCUUUCAUUUUUCAUGUUUUUUAUAGAUAUAUUAUGAAAAUAAUGAAAGAAAAAGUCAUUAUGAUGGCAUGAUGGUUAUCACUAGUACACGAAACUAUAUAUAUGUUAUUUAUUUAGCAAAGGGAUAAAAGUAGUAUGAUCUCGCACAAUAUAAAUUAAUCAUAUACACGUAUUAUCCAAAAGUGAAAUAACAAUUAUUUUAUUCAUAUUGGACAUUACUAAAUUUCCUCUAAAAUUUGCAAAGUUAAUGGAGUAGUAAUUAGAAUAGUUAUAUGAAGUAUUAUUUAGGCGAAUUUGGAAAUUUUUUGUUUUUUUUUCACACUAAUAAAAGUCUACGUUGAAAUCAUACAAUUAAGACUACUAAUUAAUAGAAAUAUCUCAUGUGCAAAACAAAAUCCAAACUAGUCUAUCUGUCCUUCUAGAGUUAUACGGAAUGGUUUAAUAAGUCCGACCAUUUGAGAAUACUCAUACAACUAUCACAUGGAAAUUAAUUAGUAAUAAACUUUGUCUUCGUCUGAGAGAUUAUCUGUAAACCAAAUGAUGUUUAAGAAAUAAUCCAAACUAGUCUAUCUGUCAAUCUAGUAGUUAUAGAAGUGUGUCUGUAUUCUAAUUAGAAAUUGCACAUGUUAUGAAAUAACAGAUAACCAAAUGUAUAAUUCUUUAAGGCUUUUAGAUAGUAAUUUAUCUCAUAUCCUCAUUGCAAAAUAGCCAGAAAUUUAAUUUUUAUUUUUAUAUACUUUUAAUAAUCGUAAACAUAAAAUAAUAUAUUUCUUUUUAAUACUUUUAAUAAUCGUGAAGGCUCGUAGAUAGUUUUAUAUAACUCGAAAACUUGGGAUUUGUCUAGUUAAUUAGUUUAUAGGAUCGACUUAACCACCAAAUUUCUUUUAUGGAUGAUAUAUUGUGUUUUUAUCGGUUUUAAGUCUUUUUUUUCUUUUUCAUUUUAUAACUUUUAUUGAGUCAAAGUGUCUUUUUAGAGUCUUUUAGUCCAUUAUAGAGUUCUUACAGGUUUUAGGUUGCUUUGGAAUAAAACGAGCUGUUUUGGGAAGCAAACACACAUUUGGAGAUGCAGAUUCAUGUAGAAGUGUCAGAUGUUUGGGAUCAGAUGAACAACUUUCCACCGUUAGAUCUUUUUCAUAUUUUGACACAAGAUGAAGACAGAUGUUAGCUUUCAUUUUCAAGUGACUUGAAAGAAAUCUAACGGUUAAUUCAAGAGUUACACCCGAUUUCGUGAAUACAGGUCAUUCUGACGAGUAACUGAAGUAGAUGCAGAUUGAAACCUGAGAGUCCCAGACCGAUCGGUCUACACCCGGGACCGAUCGAUCCCUUACCUCUGACGUAUUUUUGGGCCCUUAUUCGAUCCGAAACAUACCCAACUCGUCUCCUAUUGUUUUUAAACCCUAGGCUCGACUUUUGAGCAGCUAUCCUUCAUAUUUUUGAGUUCUAAACAUUGUUCUUUGCUUUCUAAACAAUUUUGGGAGAAGAAUCAAUCAUCUUGACACUUGGAGAAGAUUUCUAAACCCUUUCUUAUUAUAUUUGCAAUUUCAUCAUGUUUUCUUUCAUAUCUAUUUGCUUUGUUUCAAUUGCUAUGUCUGAGUAGUCUCUUAAUUGGGUUUUAGGGUUUCAAGUAGGAGAAUUCAAUGAUUUGAUAGAUUGGAUGUAUUAGGGAAUUCUUAAUCUUUAGGUUCUUCAAUUUACAUGUUCAAAAUGCUAGAAUAGGAUUGAUCACCCUGUUUUAGAACUUAGGCUUUUAUGUGUUUCAGAGAUGUUCAAUAAAAUGCCUGAAUGAAUGUAAAUUGAGCAUUGUAUUUCUAACCUGCGAGAGUUGAUGUUAGAACGCUUUGUGAACCAAAUGAACCUGUUUGAUAAUGCAAAUUUGGCUAGCAAAUUACAAAUGAGAGUUUAGUAAUUGAAUAGUUAAAAUUUAUUGACUAAUGUCUUGAGAGAGAAUUAGUCUAAACUUCUGUUCAUGUUCAAGAACGGUUCUUCAUGUUUGAAUUCCUUAUUGCUUUUAUUUGUUAUUCAUUGAUUCUCUGAAAUUACCCUGCAGCCCAAUAUCUUUAAUUCAUAAGUUUAAUCUCUUUAUUUGCAUUUUUAUUUACAAAAACUGAAAACCGAACAACAAGUCUUUUCCGCUUUAGCUGAUAACGAGUCUCGAAAGUCUUUAGUGUACAAUUGCUCCUUGUGAUCGAUCCCGCAUAUACUUUACUUCGGUUAAGUUAUCGGGUUAAAUACUCGAGUAAUCAAUGGAUAUACAAAGUAGAACCAAUAUACUCUUAGCGAUUACCAGCUAAUCUGAAUUAACCAUGGAAAUUAUUAAGUGUUCUUUAAUAAUCAAAUCAUAUCUAUAAAAAAUGAGUCAACUAAUCCACCUAUUAAAGACAAAUUAUCAAUUAAACAUUCACAUUUCUCUCCUAACGAAAACCCUAUAAAUACACACUAAAAGCUUUACAUUUCUCUCCACCCAUCUCAAACAAACUUAAAAGCACUACUACUUCUUGAGCCUUUUAAACUGCACAAACAAAUGGCUCCAAGAAUCUCCCUUGCACUCUUCCUUUCCCUUAACCUCCUCUUCUUCACUUACACCUCUGCGACCACUCCGAGCAGAAGGACUUGUCCUAAAGAUUCCCUAAAACUCGGUGUUUGCGCCAAUGUGCUCAAGCUUGUGGACCUAAAAUUGGGAAACCCACCUGUGAAGCCAUGCUGCUCUCUCAUCCAAGGCUUGGCUGACCUUGAGGCUGCUGUCUGCCUCUGCACUGUGCUCAAGGCUAACGUUCUUGGAAUCAACCUUAACCUUCCUAUCGAUCUCAGCGUUCUCCUCAAUGUUUGCAGUAGAAAAGCUCCAAAGAACUUCCAGUGCGCCUAAGUGAAAAAACUUAUGGCAUACCUACAUACAUUUGAUGAAGUCUCGAACUUAUAUUCUUUUCCUCAUGUUUUACUUUAAGGUGAUCUAUUUUUUUGUAUUUUUCUUGACUUUUUAAAAAUGAACGUACGUUUUCAUGUAAUAAUGGAUACUGCAUGGGUUUGUCCUGUCUGUGCAUGUAAUCGGCAAAUUUGUACUCCUUUACUUCAUUGUUCCUUUAUAUCCUCUUUGCAACUGUAUUCUUCGAAUUUUACUUAUAAAUUCAUUUCUCACUAUGAUUAAAUUUUAACUUAACAAUUAAAAAUCCCCACUGAACACCAAAUUAUAUUUUCACCAAAACACUACAAUAUUAAUUCAAGGCUCUUCGAAAGAGUCCGCUCCGGUUUUCUACCAUUGUCAACUCCGUGUGGUGGCCCUCUGGGGAGAAGUCCACUCUGAAACACUUCGGUGUGUUUCUACCGCGACUGACCGGAUCAGUCGAUAGGAUUUAUAUAUAAAAAAAAAUUCAUAAUCAAUGUCAAUUUUUAACAAGUAAGCUGAUCAUUGUUUUCAUAUACUAUUUUAGGAGUCAUUUGUCUUUCAAUAUAGAAAUUUCAAAACAAAUGACUUUCUAACUAUUUAUCUAGAAUAAAUUUCAUUAUGAAAUUAAGUUUUUCUCAGUAUGAUCUAUCAAUUUCACGCAAUAAAAAUUUCACUUGUAAUCGAUCCGAUAAACAUUGGGUCAGCAAAAUUUUGGUUUGAUUUCUGGUAGCAUGUGUCAAGCUAUAUGAAAAUGAAUGGAUUUCCGACUCAAAAACAAUUGACAGUCAGUAAAUUAACUGUAUAUUUCCCUAUAUAUUACAUUAGGUUUUUUAUAUUUUUUCCUUUACUUUCAAUCUUGAUUUGAUUAACCUGCUGAGAUAUUGAAAAGAACAUACUUUUUUCUUUUCUUUUUUUAACUUAAAAAAAAAAUCUGAUCCAAUAAGAAUUAAAAGAACACCACUAGUUGAAUAUACGAUUUGAAGAUAAUUCAUAUUUUAUUGUUGUAUAUGUAAAAUUUAAAGUUUACUCUUUAAGGUUUAGGGUUUAAAAUUGUAACAAGUUUGAAUUAUGAUUUUUUUAAAGAAUAUAAUGAAGUGUGAAGCGUGUUUUUUUGGUAACAUAUAAUAUUCUAUGAAAACCUAAACAUUAUGGCUAUUUGGUAUACAGUACUAUUGCUUAUGUGAAUAAAAUCUUUGCACAUCCCAAAAGUCUCGGGUCAACUUUCAAAAAGAAAAAUAUACAGCAAAAUUUCAACUUUGUAUUCACUUAAUUAUUGUUUAGAAAUUAUGAUCAUUGAUUUUAUUAAUUCCAGUAAUACAGAAGUAUGUUUUUAUUCCUUUUUCUAAAAGAAAAUGUAUAAUAGUUACUUUUGAUGUGUUAACCACCUAUAGUCUCCUAUCAAUUUCUUUAAUUCAUUCUUCACGUCUUUAUAGAUAUACUAUGUAAUUAAUAAAAGAAAAUUUCAUUAUUGUAAAAAAAAAAAGGAAUAGAUUUUGGCAUGAUGAUUAUCACGAAACUAUAUAUAUGUUAUUUAUUUAGCAAAGUGAUAAAAUAGUAUGAUCUCGCAUAUACAUCUUAUUCGAUAUAACUCAUAUAGACGUAUUAUCCGAAAGAUAAAAUAACAAAUUUUUUUUUCAUAUUGAACAUUACUUUCCUUUUAAAUUUGGAGUAAAGUAUUAUUUUGACGAAUUUGGAUUUUUUUUUUUCACACUAUCAAAUUGAACUUUGAUGUCAUAUUUGUGCUAAACCAUCUAAUAAAGUCUAACGCUGAGACUACCAAUACAAAUAUCACAUGUCGUCAAAACAAAUUCCAAACAAGUCCCAUCUGUUCUUCAAAUUAUACGGAAUGAUUUCAUAAGUCCAACCAUUUGAGACUACUAAAUACAAUUAUAACAUGGUAAUGAAGUAAUAAACUUUGUCUUCGUUUGAGAUAUUAUCUGUAAGCUAAAUGAUGUUUUAGAAACAAUCCAAACUAGUCUAUCUGCUCAAUCUAGUAAUAAUAGAAGUGUGUAUGUAUUCUUAUUAGAACUUGCACAUGUUUUGAAAUAAUACAUAACCAAAUGUAUGAUGAUGUCUAAGGCUUUUAGAUGGUAAUUAUAUUCUCAUUGAAAAAUAACCAGAAAGAAAAAGAAAAUAUUAUUUUUAUAUGCUUUUAAUAAAAUAUAAAAUAGAUAAAUAUUUUUUAUACUUUUAAUAAUAAUCGUGAAGGCUCGAAAAUAGAUCGAUAUAAUUUGAAAACUUGGGAGUUUUCUGGUUAAUUAGUUUAGAAGAUCGACUUCAACCACCAAAUUUCUUUUAUGGAUACACAAAUUAGAACAAUAUACUCAUUACCAGCUAAUUUGACCAAUGAGAAUUAAGAGUUCUUUAAUAAUCAAAUCAUAUCUAUAAAAAAUGAGUCAACUAAUCCCUUAUUGAGACAAAUUAUCAAUUAAACCUUUACAUUUCUCUCUUAUUGAAAAUUCUAUAAAUAGACGCUAAAGCUUAACAUAUCUCUCCACCCAUCUCAAACAAACUUAAAAGCACUACUACUUCUUGAGCCUUUUAAACUGCACAAACAAAUGGCUCCAAGAAUCUCCCUUGCACUCUUCCUUUCCCUCAACCUCCUCUUCUUCACUUACACCUCUGCGACCACCCCGAGCAGAAGGACUUGUCCUAAAGAUUCCCUACAACUCGGUGUUUGCGCCAAUGUACUCAAGCUAGUGGACCUAACAUUGGGAAACCCACCAGUAAAGCCAUGCUGCUCUCUCAUCCAAGGCUUGGCUGACCUUGAGGCUGCUGUCUGCCUCUGCACUGUGCUCAAGGCUAACGUUCUUGGAAUCAACCUUAACCUUCCCAUUGAUCUAAGCGUUCUCCUCAAUGUUUGCAGUAGAAAAGCUCCAAAGAACUUCCAGUGCGCGUAAGUGAAAAAACUUAUGGCAUACCUAUAAAAUAAACGAAUCAUACGUUUAAUGAAGUCUCGAACUUAUAGUCUUUUCUUCAUGUUUUAUGUUAAGGUGAUCUAUUUUUUGUAUUUUUCUUGAAUUGUUAACGUACGUUUUCAUGUAAUAAUGGAUACUACAUGGGUUUGUCUAUGCAUGUAAUCGGCAAAUUUGUUCUCCUUUGCUUCAUUGUUCCUUUUUAUCUUCUUUGUAACUGUAUUUUUCGAAUUUUACUUAUAAAUUCACUUCUCACUAUGAUUAAAUUUUAACUUAAACCUCUUUAACCAAUCAAACCUUAGCUUUCUCCUCAUCGUUUGCGGCAGAAAGGCUACACGUGGGUUCCAAUGCCCUUAUUUAAAAAAGUUAAUUUCUAAAACUCUUGAAACUGUUUACAAAAAUGUAAACUGUUUGCCGUAAGACCUCACAAUAAUAAGAUCGGCGGAUUAAACCCAAAAGCCUGUUAAAUCUUAAACAAACAGCGACUUGAAUGGUUUUUUUAAUAAGAAAACCAUGUUUUAGAUGUGAAUUAUAUAUAUAGCAGUCGCAAUUUGGGAUUAUCUGUGUUAUAUUUACAAAUAUGUUUAGGUUUCGUAAGAUUCAUAAUCAUUAAUCAAUGUCAAUUCGUAACGAGUAAACUGAUCACUGUUUUCAUAUACUACUUUUUAUACCAAAAUUGAAAAGCACAUGUAUUAAACGUCCAAAAAAUCAUAGAUGGCGAAUUUUUAGUUUUUUUCUCUUUUUUCUUUUGUUUUUGAUUUAUUUUAAAAUUCUGACCCAAUAAGAAUUAAAAGAACAUUAAUAGUUGUAUAUACUUUGAAUAUAAUUCAUAUUCUGUUGUUGUAUAUGUGAAAUUUAACGUUUAUUCUUUAGGUUUCAGGGUUUAAAAUAUUGUAACGAAUUUGAAUUAUGAUUUGUUAACGAAUAUUAUCAAGUGUGAAGCAUGUUUUUUUGGUAACAUAUUAAUAUCCUAUGAAAACCUAAGCAUCAUGGUUAUUUGGUAUAAAGAUUUGCUUAUGUUAAUCAAAUCUUUGCACAUCCCAAAAAUAUCGGGUCAACUUUCAAAAAGAAAAAGAUUCAGCAAAAGUUUAACAUUUUUUUUCAGUUCAUUAUUGUUUAUAUCAUUGAUUUUAUUCCAUUAUUACCUGUAUGUAUUUAGUCUUACACAGGUAUGUUUUUAUUCCUUUUUCUAAGAAAACUAGGCUCGGACCCGCGCUACAGCGCGGGGGAAAAGUGUCGGUUUUUGUUUUUUUUCCGAAUUACGUAAACUUUUAACUGUUAAAAUGGAUUGUUGGUGUUGAAUUUGGCAAGUAUGAGAAUAUGUACUAUCGUGGAUGUGUACUUUGUCACGUUUGCUAGGUUUAAAUCCGCGCUACAACACGAAAGAAUAUUUUCAAGUUUAUUUUAUUUUAACGUGUUUUGUCGUAUGUGUUAUUAUUUCGUUCAUUUUAGUAUCAACAAUUAUUAUUUCGAAAUGUAUAUUUGGUUUCAAUUCUUUGAGAAAAGUGUGUUUUCGGAAAUUAAAUAUAAUAUUUUUAUAAACUAAAUAAAAGAACGUUUAUUAAACAAAUUGUAUAUUCACAAUGUAUGUGGUGACUAACUAACCAAUCAGCAAAAACCCGUGUAUUUAAAAAAAAAAUCAUGAAAAUAUAUGAUAUUGAAAAAUCAUGAAAAUCAUGUAUAUACAUGUAUCACACAAGAACAUAUGAGUUUGAAAGAUUUGUAUAUACUUGUAUCCUAUAAAAAUAAAAUAAAAAUAUUAUUAUACUUCAUAUUGUAUAAGAGACCAUAAUAUUCUUGUUAUUAACAUAUUAAAAUAUUUAGAACAUUUUAAGGAAAAUUCAGAAUUUAAGGUAAUUUAUUUAAACUAACUUAUGGAAUAUAUUCUUUAUGACUGAUUUUGUAUUAGUAGUGAUUCGAUGAUUAAUAAUUACAAAGAUAAAAUAUUGUUAUUAAAGUAUUUUUAGUUAAUUAUAAUAAUUAUCCUAAAAUUUAAUUAUUUUUUUUGUAUCCAAAAUAUUUCAUAUUACUCAUUGAAAUAUAUUAAUGAUUGUAAAUUAUUUUUUUUUUCAAAAUUCAAAUAUAACCAUUUCUAGAUAUAUAUGGAUCUCUAUAAUUUUGCAUUAAUUAUGCUAUUGAUAAAAUAUUAUUCUUUUUUUAUAGGUAAUUCAAAUUGAUAAAGAUUAAAAUAAUUUUGAAACCUCUUUUCAUAUACUAUUUUUUUAUUCUGAUUAAAUCUUUUAUUUAACUAUUAGGGAAUGUAAAAAAUAAUAAUAANNNNNNNNNNNNNNNNNNNNNNNNNNNNNNNNNNNNNNNNNNNNNNNNNNNNNNNNNNNNNNNNNNNNNNNNNNNNNNNNNNNNNNNNNNNNNNNNNNNNNNNNNNNNNNNNNNNNNNNNNNNNUUUUAUUGAUUAUAUUACCAUUAUUUAUGUAUUUUAGAUGCAUUUUUAUAUUUGUUAUACCAAAUAUUUUUAAAUUAUAUUUUUCUAUAUAUCAAAUAUUUAAACUUAUAAAAAAUUAUAAUUUUUUUUGUUUUUUCAUAUAAGAAAUUAAUAUAAUAAUUAGAAUAUUUUUAAAAGAUUGAGAUCUUUAUAUUCAUAAACAAAUUUUCCUUAUAAGACAUAUUUUUAUAUUUAGCAUUAAUAUAGUUUCCUAAAUGAUAGGAAUCUGGUGUAUAUUAUUGAAAUAUUUGAAAAAUAUUUAACAAAAAAUUUGGCAAGUAUCCGAUUGAAACCCGGAAUAUUUUGAAAAACCCGACCCGAAUCCCUUGUGUACUUCUCUUUUACUAUAGUAGGGAUGUCUAAUAGUUACUUUCGUUUUGUUAAUUACCUAUAAUCUAUGGUGACAUAAAAAAAUAUUAUAUACGUUCAUUAAGAAAUAACUUUGCCUAUUGAGAAUUAGCUUUGCCUGGUUUAAACUAUUGAUUUUUAGACGAAUUUGAUUUUUUUUUUUUUCACACUAUCAAAUUGAACGUUAUAGGAUCGAUAUGAUUCGAGAACAUUGGAGUUGUCUAGUUAAUUAUUUCAUUUUAUAGGAUCGACUUUUACAGAUGACCAGCUAAUUAAAACAAUGACAAUUAAUUGUUUUCUAAUAAUCAAAUCAUAUCUAAAAAAAAUUAGUCAAAUAAUCCACCUAUUAAAGACAAAUUAUAAAUUAAACCUUCACAUUUCUCUCCUAAUGAAACCCCUAUAAAUAUACACGAAACAGUUAACAUCACCCAUCUCAACGAAACUUAAACGCACUACUAGUAAACUUCUCGAGCCUAUUCCUCUCCACAAUUACAAAUGGCUCCAAGAACCUCCCUUGCACUCUUCCUUUCUCUCAACCUUCUCUUCUUCACUUACGCCUCUGCGGCUUGUCCUAGAGACUCCCUACAGCUCGGUGUUUGCGCCAAAGUACUCUUGCAAGUGGAGCUAAAAUUUAACACAUCUUUAAAGCCAUGCUGCUCUCUCAUCCAAGGCUUGGCUGACCUUGAUGCUGCUGUAUGCCUCUGUGAUGUGCUCAAGACUAAGGUUCUUGGAACACCUCUUAACCUUCCCCUCAAUCCCAGCGUACUCCUCAGUGUUUGCGGUAGAGAAGCUCCAAACAACUUCCAGUGCGCGUAAGUUGAAUGGGUGUUUAUGAUGAACCUAUCUUCUUAUCUUCUUGUUUUAUGUUAAGGUGGUUUUUUUUUUUUUUUUGUAUUUUUCUUGAAUUCGUUUUCAUGCAAAUAUGCAAUAAUGGAUAUAAUGCAUGGGUUUGUGUAUGCAUGUAAUCGGCAAGUUUGUACUCCUUUACUUCAUUGUUCCUCUGUCCCUUCUUUGUAAUUAUUUUUUUUCGAAUUUGAUAUAAUAAUUUCACUUCUUACUAUAAUUAAAUUUUAACAUAAUUAGAAAUGAAAAAAAGCCAUAUUGGAAAAAUAAUAAUUAAGAUGCUUGGAAUCUCGGUGUUUAAUGAACUUGGUGAAUGUGACAUUAGUCAUUAAGUGCUUCUUAAUUUAGUUAAGCCGUGUAAAUGUAAUUGCAACCUCAUUGAAGGUUUCGCUGAUGACCUAGAAGCUGCGGUAUCAUCAUUAACCUUAGCUUGAUCCUCAGCUUCACAUGGCUUCCAAUGCCCUUAAUUUAAAAACAAUUAUUUCUAAAACUUGGUUAAUAGGAAUUAAUUAUAUACAAAUAUUGAAGCUGUUUUCCGGCAGAUCUCACCAAGAUCGAAGUCUAUAUUUGAUCUGAACAGUUUUGUACCUCAAACUAACAAGUGCAAAUUAAGUAAACUAAUCAUUUUCGAAUUAUAUUUUAGGAGAUCUUUUUCUUUUCAAUGUAAGAUUUUCAGCAGAAAUGACUCUUCUAACUUUUUAUCUGAUUUAAUCUAUAUAUAUAUAAAGUUAGCUUUUUCUCUCUUCUCCUUAAGCCACAUCAUCAUCCACCUCAUUUUAUUAUUUAAUUUUUAAAAUUAAUUAUACCAUUUUAUCAUUUAAUUUUAAGAUUUAAACCUAUAUAAACCUAUAUAAAGUUAGCUUUUUCUCUCUUCUCCUUAAGCCACAUCAUCAUCCACCUCAUUUUAUUAUUUAAUUUUUAAAAUUAAUUAUACCAUUUAUCAUUUAAUUUUAAGAUUUAAACCUAUAUAAAUAAAUUUAUCAAAAAUGAAUAUGAAAGGUCUUUUUUAUAGAAAUUUGGUGGUUGUGUCAGGAAAUUUGAUAAUAUUAACUUUAUAUAUAUAGAUUACAUCUUAUCUCAACAGAUAUUAGACUUACUAUAAUGUCAAAUUGUUUCUUAAUUUAUAUUUGAUUUCAAUUUUAAAUCAUUUCCUCUGCUUUCAAUUUUUGACUUGAUUAACCCGUCAGAGUUCAAAAAAAAAAAAUUAGUUUAUAUUAUUGAUCACAUUGGACAUGCUUUCCCUAAAAUUCUUGCAAAGUUGCAAUUGGCCAAAAUUUAAAAUUUAAGUUAGACGAAUUAAUAUGUAUCUUUCUUUUUUUAAGUUAAGUGAAAUAUGAUUUGAUAACUCCAACCAUCUGAGAUGAAAUAAUACAAUAUUAUCACAUGGAAAUGAAAUAAUAAACUAUAUGUCUUCGUCUGACUAAAUGAUGUUUUAGAAAUAAUGGUGACAAAGGUAUUUGUUAAAUAUAUCACAUGGACAAAGCAUGGAGGAAUAAAGAAACUCAUUCCAAUUUCGAUGUGCUUAAUUAACAAAAAUAGAUGUUUAAAUGAAAAUAGCAGGUUUUAGAAAAGAAACCUGUGAUACCUAGAUAUACAUAAUAUUUGCUUAGAUAUAGGUGCUAUACUACUAGCUUUGAUAUAACGUCAAAAAUAACUCACUCCAACUUAUUAUCCCUUGAUGAUGAAGAGUUUUUAGGUUUAACUUGCGAAAGGUGGGAUUUACGAGCUGGUCUGAAUCACUCUCUCGUCAAUCAGGAGGUCGUACAGGGAAUAGAUCAGGUGAGUGACUCGUUUAAUCAGUAGGAUAAAUGACUCACUCGAUCAAUGGACGAAUGAAGGAUGUUGAAUCACUCAACAAACUUAGUUCGCAGAUUUUGUAAGUAUUAAGUGACUCACUCAUAAAGAACUGAAAAACAAGAUUGAAAAGACUCAAACUUUGACAAGAAGAAAAAAUUUCUACUGCUUUGAAAUGAUCAAGGGUGUUUUACAAAUGAACAAUCUAAUGAGCUUAUAUAGGCUCAACUACACGUUCUAGUAGUCUAAAAGAGGUGUAUUCAAAAUGGAAUUUUAAGAGAUUUGAGUUUUUAAAUGAUUAUGAUGAUUUUAGAGAAGUUCAUAUGACUUUUGUAAAAUCCUUUUACAUCUCACCAAAAACCAUGAGAUUUGGAUUUCUGUAUUUUUAACUAAGGAAUUCCUUUCAAAUCUUCUGAAAUCCUUCAAAAUCAUUAAAAGCCAAAUCCACAAAUUGUUUUCAAUAACAGUGGAUUUGAAUGUGGAUUUUGAAAUAAUUAGUUCAAUAACAAUGGAUUUCAUGAGACUUUUUAAAAUUUAUAUUUGAAUAACACUAGAUUAAUAAGUUCUACACAAAUCUCUUAAAAUGCUACUUUGAAUACACCUCCCUAAACCAAGAAACAAAUCGCAUAAAAUUGAAGACACUAGCCGUUGGGAAUUUAUGAACCAAAUCAGCUAAAUAAGGCAAGUAGAAAGAUACCUUGAGUUUUGAAAGCUUUGGUGCGAAAACAUGAUUUCUUAAGGUGUCUAGGUUCAUUUUAGAAAGCUUCAAGAUGUACAUAAGAAAAUAAGGAAGUAGUCGUUGCAGCUUUAUCUCCUUUGGUUCCAUGUAUGAUAAGUAGUGACUCGUCGGUUUCUUGUAUGGUAAGGUGUACUAAAGGUCGUGUUGCACAAGUAUUGUUUGGUCUAAAUAUUUACAUGGUUUCCAUAUCUUAUUAUAUAAACCUUGGUUUUCAAAGUUAGCCAUUAACAAGAUCGUGACACGUGUUAAUUAUAAUUGAUAAGAUAUUGACACAUGUCGUAACUAAUUUUGUUAAUAUUUGGAUAAUAUAGAAAUAUUAUUAACCCUAUCGAAAAAAGAAAUAUAUAAAAUAAAUAUUAUUAAUAAAAUAUACAAAUAACCUAAUUUCAGUUAUGUCAAUUUGGUUUAUCAAUAAGAUAGGGAUUUAAAAUUUAUAAUUAACAAGAAUAUAUGACGAUUUUUGUUUACAGAAGAGAAUUAAGGUUUAAACUUUAAUUUUACGAUUAAAUCAGGUUAUUUGUUGGUUUGGGUAUAUAAAUGAUAAAUAAGAAUUAUGGUUUAUCUUUAUAAAUUAAAAUUAUGGUUGAAGUUUAACAAUUAAACGAGAUUAUAUGUCGAAACUUGGUUUUUAAANNNNNNNNNNNNNNNNNNNNNNNNNNNNNNNNNNNNNNNNNNNNNNNNNNNNNNNNNNNNNNNNNNNNNNNNNNNNNNNNNNNNNNNNNNNNNNNNNNNNUGCAAUAUGGUAUAUCUAAUUUUGUUAAUAUUAAGAUACAAAUAGAUUUUUUAAACAACAUUAAAAAAUAAUUAUAAAAAAUGAAAGAGAAUUUUUGAGAAAUAUCCCUUUUGGUGUAUCACUUUUCAAAAAUACCUCAUUUAUCUAUCCAUUUUCAAAAAUAUCCAUGUUUAAAUAUGAAAAAUUUUAAAGUUUUAUAUGGUUUAUAAGGCACUUUUAUAUAAUAACUACUACUUGGAAAUUUGAUACAAAUAUUUUAUAAUGUUUUAAAAGAUUCUGAAUCGUUUUUACAAGUUUUAUAAGGUUUUUAAGUGGUUUUAAAAAGGGUUUAUAAGGUUUUUAAAAGGUAUUUAUAAGUUAUUUUACGCUAUUUAUGAAAGAUAUAUAAAAAUUUUAACAUAUAUAAAGGUAAUUUGUGUGUAUAUUUAUAAGUUUACACACAUAUUUGGAUAAAUUUUAAUAUUUAUAGUUGUUUUUUUAUAAAGUUUGAAAUAGGGGUAUUUUUAAAAAGUGGUAUGGAAAAAGGAUAUUUUUGAUAAAUUAAAAAGUAAAAAAAUUGAAAUUUAUAUAAAAAAAGCGUAAGCUUAUAUAUUUAGACACAAAUUAUCUUUCUAUUUGUGUAAAUUUUAAAUACCAUAUAAAUACCUUUUAAAAACCUUUUAAAAUUAUUUAAAAAACAUAUAAAAACUUUGUAAAUCUUAUAAAAACCUUAUAAAAGUCUUAUAAAUGCCGUUUAAAACCUUUUUAAAACUUUAUAAAUAUUUGUAUUGAGUCUCCCAAUAGUAAUGAUGAUCUAGAUGUACCUUAUAAACUAUAUAAAAGUUGACAGUUUUUCAUAUUUGAAAAGGGAUAUUUUUAAAAUGGAUAGAAAAUUGGUGUAUUUUUAAAAAGAGGUACACCAAAAGGGGUAUUUCUCAAAAAUUCUCUUUUAACUAUUAACCUAAUUUUUGGUUUUGCGAGUUGUAGGUUUUACAAUUAUAAGGGUUAUAUGUUGAGUUUAUAAAUGUGCAUUAUAGUUUAGAUUUUAUUAUUAAACGAGAUUAUUUAUCGGUUUGGGUUUAUUAAAGAUGAGUGAGAUUUAGGUUUAACAAUUAAACAAGGUUAUUUCUCAGUUUGGGUUCAUAAAGGAGAAUUAGGAUUUACAAUUUACAAAUAAAUUAGAUUUUGAGUUUAACUAAAUUCAUAAUUUUAUUCAUGAUUUCUAUUUUAUAAUAUGUUAUAUUUGUUUAAUUUUUAAUUUAUGUACGAAUGUAUUAUGCCAUUGAGCAAUUUCAUUGUCUAAAACAUAAGGGUGAAUAAAAUAACAAAGUUUAAUAUAAAUCGUAAUAUAGUAAUUUUAAAAUAUUUUUAAAGAAAAUANNNNNNNNNNNNNNNNNNNNNNNNNNNNNNNNNNNNNNNNNNNNNNNNNNNNNNNNNNNNNNNNNNNNNNNNNNNNNNNNNNNNNNNNNNNNNNNNNNNNAAUUCGUAAUUGAAAUUUUUUUUAAUGUUUUCGUCAACGAUGUUGUAAUUUAUUUUAGAAUCUUUAUGUUUAUUUGCGUUGUUUAUAUGAUUUUAUUUACAAAUGACUAUAUUUGUAUUUAACAUCAUAUUUUUGAUUGAUGUUAAUUUGAAAGAACUUUACCAUCAUAUUAAAUAAUAAUUAAUUAAUUUUCAUAGUCUGAGUAUGAUUUUUUGAAAAAUUGAAAGUUAAGAAAUAACAAUUUUUACAAAAUGGUAUAAUCAUGUUUUAGAGGAUAAUUGGUAAAUUAAGAUUUUUUGAAAUAUUUUAGCAAGAUUAUGAGUAAUGGUGAAUAGCUCCCAAAUAGCUCCCAAAUGUUUUGGUGAUUGUCAGUUUGACAUUACUAGAUUUAUAUAAUUAACGUUUUAUAACGAAUUUUAUUAAAUAUAUAUUUCAAACCAAAUAAAAUCUCUUUCCAAAUGAAAUUAAUUUCUCUUAUUUUUUCAAACAAAACUUUUGAAAUUAUAUUUUUAUAAUUUAUAGUAAAUUUUAAUUUUAAUUUAAUUUUAAAUAAAGAUAACCCGUCCAUCGGACGGGUACUAUACUAGUAUAGAUAUAAAAUCUACAUUCGGUCCAAUAUUCAUUUUUUUAUCUUCAAUCGAAUUUUUUAGCUUUUUUAAUAUUUUAAAAUUCUUAUCCAAUAUAAUUAAGAGAACACUAAUACUCUAUUGUUGUAUGUGCGACCCGAUUAUAAUUCGAAAGAAUACCAAUACGUUAUCGUAUUUUGUUUUUAAUGUCUGUAUUUCACUAUGGUAAAGAUUGUACAUGAUUACAAUGCAAAUAAUUAAUCAGAAGCUGGGAUACAAAGUAGUGAAAAAGAAACUGAUUAUCGUUUAAUCGGAGAUUUGGCCAAAAUAUUUGUUGCUUUGUCGUUUGCUCUAUGUAUCUAACAAAAUUUGACUGAUUCAAAUUUUUGUUUCCAAUGUGUGGUUUCUUGAAAUCUAAUUAUAAUAAGAAAAGUUGUGAUUCCUUUUAUGUACAUAGCAUGUCAAUGACUUGUUUAGAGUCUCCUUCGAAUAUUACUCGCUGAUGUCCUUGACUCCAAGUGUGCUGCAUUGCCAUAACCAAUACAUUAUCGUUAUAUAAGUAAAAUAACCUAGAGUUUAGGAUUUAAAGUUAUAGCGAGUUUGCAUCAUGAUUUGUUAACGAAUAUUAUGAAAUGUGAAGCAUGUUUUAUUUCGUAAGAUAUUAUCCUAUUAAAAACUACAAUAAAAUCUCUACAACUUGAUACUCGACAAAUUAAUAAUCUCCAUAAAUUAAUAAUUAAAUGAAAUUAUUAAUAUAUAUAUAUAUAUGUAAUAUUUUUAGUGAAAUAUAAUUAUCAUUAUGUUAAAUAUUCUUAUAUUUACAUUAGUUUUUGUUAGCAUUCAAUUCUAAUAGAUUUCAUGUAUCAAUAAAUUUAUAGUGUUUUAUUCAUUCAUGAUGAUUGUUGUUUUUUGUUGUAAUUGAUUAUAAAAAAAAUAUUGAUUAGAAUGGUUAAAUUUUAUUUUGAGGUAUAUAUAUUUUUAAAUUUACCAAAUUAGGAAAAUAUUGAUAAAUUAAUGAUUUUAUAAAUUAAUAAAAUUUAAUGAUCCUAACAUUAUUAGUUUAUAGAGGUUUUACAGUAUUGCUUAUGUGAAUCAAAUCUUUGGGCAUCCCAAAUAUAUCGGGUCAACUUUCAAAAAGAAAAAUAUACAGCAAAAGUUCAACUUAUGUUUUCAUUUGAUUAUUGUUUAUGAUCGUUGACUUCAUGCCAUUAUUACCUGUCUGUAGUCUUACAGAAAUAUGUUUAUCUGUUUUUGUAAGAAAAUAUAUAUUAUUUAUUUUUAAUGUAUUUACCAAAAAAAUCAUAUAUAAACUAUAUAUUUAUAUAUGUUAAUCUCCUAUAAUCAUAUGAUGAGAUAAAAAAUUAUUACGUUCGUUAAGAAUUAAUUUUUCCUUAAUAAACAUGACGAUGAUCACCAAUUAGUUAAAACUCUUUGAAACCAUAUGGUCAACUUCUUUCAUUUUCACGUUUUAUAGAUAUAUUACGUAGUUAAUUAAAGAGAACAUCACUUUAAAAAAAAUUAUAUAUAUAUAUAUAUAUAUAAUUGACCAAUCAAUCGAUCAAUAUUAUAGAUACGAAUGAUUUUAGCAUGAUGAUUAUCAUAUUAUAACAUUUAAUUUAUUUUAAAGAAUAGAAAUGGCCAAUCAAUUGAUCAAUUUUAUAGAAAAGAAUGAUUUUGGCAUGAUGAUUAUCAUAUUAUAUUAUAUUAGCAUGUUCGACCUUAAUUUAUAAUCCGUAUAUAAUAAAAUAUACACCAUUAGUACACGAAACUAUAUGUUACUUAAUCAGCAAAAUGAUCAAAGUAGUAUGAUCACGUACACUAUAUCAUUACAAUAUAUCAUAGAAAUGUAUUAUCCGAAAGAGAUUGAGAUAAGUCCAAACUAGUAAAUCUAGUUUUUGGAUUUUGUAAACCCAAAAAAAAUCCAAACUAAUAUAUCUGUCCUUCUUGUAACCCUUGUUAUAUACGGAGUGAUUUUAUAAGUCCAACAAUUUAAGAAUACUAAUACAACUAUCACGUGGAAAUGAAGUAAUAAAAUUUGUCUUCGUCUGAGAGACUAAAUGAUAAUGGUGAUAUAAGUAUGCCCCGUUACAAAGGUAUUUGUUGAAGGAUAAUAUUUAUGAGACUUUGCACAAUUAGUUUCCAAAAAUAAGAUUAAUAUAUUUGAUUAUAUUUUUAACACUCGUGAAGUCCCGUACAUACAUUGGUAUAAGUUAUACUGUAUAACUAGGAACUUUGGGAGUUGUCUACUUAAUUAGUUUAGAGGAUCGACUUCAACCAUACCAAAUUUUGUUUUAUGGAUAUAUAAUUUUAUACCAGCAACUAUAGGUUUUUAAUUAAAAUUAGAACCAUAUACUACUAGACAUUACCAGCUCAUUAUAGUGUUCUUUAAUGAUCAAAUCAUAUCAAUAACAAAAUUAGUCAACUAAUCCCCUAGUAACGACAAAUUAGCUAUGAAACCUUCACAAUUCUCUCCUAGUGAAAACCCUAUAAAUACACACUAAACACUUAACCUUUCUCUCCACCCAUCUCAAACAAGCUUAAACGCACUACUACUUCUUGAGCCUUUUCCACUCCACAAAACAAAAUGGCUCCAAGAACCUCCCUUGCACUCUUCCUUUCUCUCAACCUCCUCUUCUUCACUUUCACCUCUGCGACCACAGGUACUUGUCCUAGAGACGCCCUCAAGAUCGGUGUUUGCGUCAGUGUGCUCAACAUAGUGGACCUAACAUUGGGAAACCCACCCGUACAGCCAUGCUGCUCUCUCAUCCAAGGCUUAGCUGACCUUGAGGCUGCUGUCUGCCUUUGCACUGCUCUCAAGGCUAGCGUUCUUGGAAUCAACCUUAACCUUCCCAUCAACCUCAGCGUUCUCCUCAAUGUUUGCGGUAGAAAAGCUCCAACCAACUUCCAGUGCGCUUAAGUUAAAAAUGAAGUUAUGGCAAAAAAAAAAAAAAAAAAAAAAAAAAAAAAAAUCAAUAAUCAACAAUCAAUAAUCAUAUAUACAAUGUAUGAAUAAUAAAUGAAUAAUCAUACAAUGUAUGAAUACUUGAAACCGUUAUCUUAUCUUCUUGUCUUUAUUUUAAGGUGAUUUCUUUUUUUCUUUGCAUUUGUAUUUGUAUUUGUCGUGGAUUGUUGGAAACUAACGUAUGAACGUUCUCAUGCAAUUACCCAAUAUUGGGUUUUGUGUGUAGUCGGCAAGUUUUUUCCUCCUUUGCUUCAUUGUUCCUCCAUCUCUUCUUUGUAAUUGUGUCCUUCGACGUUUAUUAAUAAAAGUAUCCAUCUUUAUGUUUUUUUUGUCUAUAUUGGUUAUCGAGUAUUUAUGCAUGUCUAUCUUAUAAACCAAGAUAAAAAGAUAAUAUUACAUACAUGAUACAUAUAUAUACCACAAAAACAUGUCUUGGCUAGUAUUACCUUAGCUUGUAAGCAUUAAGACAUGUAACAUCCAUUGCCUAUACCAUGCAAGAAUGGUGGGGAAUUUUUUUUUUUUUUUUCAAACUAGAUAAGAAUGUGUACAAGAUAAAUUCUUCAAACAGACAGCACUUGCAAACUUGGGAGAUAGUUUAAAAUAAAGAACUACUAAAUGUAUUUUUUUAUUUUUUUUAUUUUUUUUAACUACUAAAUGUAUUGUAAUGUGUUAGACGUAAUAUACAUAGUAGUCAAAAUAUAUUUUGACAUAGAAUUUAGAACUUUUUGCCAAAUAUCAAAGGCUUUAAAAGUAGUAGAUAAUGUAAUUACUAAUAAGUUAAAAAAUCAUAAUUAAGUUGGUAAUCGAUUUUUGGCUUGACUUGGGACGAAAAAUGUAAUUUUUUCUUAACAAGUCACUGGUAUAUAUUUUUUGAGAACUAAACCUUGAGUUUUACUUAUAUGAAUAGUUAAAAGUCACAAUUUUGUAUUCACUUUAUUACUGUUUAUGAUCAUUGAUUUUUUUUCCAUUACUAACUGUAUUUAGUCUUACAGAAAUUAAUGUGUUUUUAUUCUUUUUUUGUAAGAAAAUCUAUAAUGUAGUAACCGGAAAAAUUCAAAUGAAAACAUAUGCAUGGUGAUAUUAAAAUCUAGGUUCAUUAAGAAAUAACUUUGCUUUUUGAUAGGAUCUUGUAAGAAUUAAUUUUGCCUUAUCAACAAGACGAUGAUCACUACUACAGUAUAUAUAUAUAUAUAUAUAUAUAUUACUUGCCGUUAUUUUAUUUUGUAGUAUAUUUUGUCGUUAAUAUAAUAAAAGGAUCUCGCACAUACAUCUCAUUCAACACAUAUACAUGAUUUAUUUACCAAAAAAUAAAAUAUAUACAUGAAUAUUUCGUUAUAACAACUCUAACAAUGAUUAUAUAUUAUUCAUACUGGACAUGCUUUCAAAUUUAAAUUUUGCGCAAAACUGCAAUUGGCCAAAAUUUAAUCUAGACGAGUUAUGGUUUGAUUAAGUCCAACCAUUUGAGACUACCAAAUAGUAUUAUUACAUGGAAAUGAAUUAAUAAACUUUGUCUUCGUCUGACUAAAUGAUGAUUUAAAAAUAAUGACAAAGGGAUUCGUUAAAUAUAUAUAUCACAUGCACAAUGCAUGGAGGAAUAAAAAAACUCAUUCCAAUUUCGAUGUGCUUAAUUAACAUAAAUAGAUGUUUAAAUGAUAAAUAGCAGGUUUUAAAAAAACUUGUGAUACCUAGAUAUACAUAAUGUUUUCUUAGAACUUGGUAUUAUACUACUAAUUAACUUUGAUACACUAAUUACUAACGUAAUAACUAAUAACAUAACUCUGUACUCCAACUAACCAAGAAAUCAUAAGAUCGAUUGGCAGCUGAUACAAGUAAAUCAUAAAUGGCUGGCUUGAGCUUAAUUAAAAGAUGAAUGUGAUUCAUAUAAUAUAAAAAUUCGUGAGUUGUCUAGUUAAUUAGUUUAGAAGAUCGACUUCAACCACCAAAUUGUUUUUAUAGAUAUACAAAUUAAAACCAUAUACUCUUAAAGAUUACCAGCUAAUUUGAACAAUGACAAUUAAGUGGUUUUUAAUAAUCAAAUCAUAUCUAUAAGAAAUAAGCCAACUAAUAAUUCAAAUUAUCAAUUAAACCUUCACAUUUCUCUCCUAAUGAAAACCCUAUAAAUACCCACUAAACACUUAACAUUUUUCUCCACACAUCUCAUACAAACUUAAACGCACUACUACUUCUUGAGCCUCUUCGACCUCACAAACCAAUGGCUCCAAGAACUUCCCUUGCACUCUUCCUUUCUCUCAACCUCCUCUUCUUCACUUACACCUCUGCGGCCACCCCGAGCAGACAGACUUGUCCUAGAGAUUCCCUACAGCUCGGUGUUUGCGCCAAUGUACUCAAGCUAGUGGACCUAACAUUGGGAAACCCACCUGUAAAGCCAUGCUGCUCUCUCAUCCAAGGCUUGGCUGACCUUGAAGCUGCUGUCUGCCUCUGCACUAUGCUCAAGGUUAACCUUCUUGGGAUCAACCUUAAUCUUCCCAUCGAUCUCAGCGUUCUCCUCAAUGUUUGCAGUAGAAAAGCUCCAAAGAACUUCCAGUGCGCGUAAGUUGAAUAGUGUUUAUGAAGUCUUGGACCUAUUUUCUUAUCUUCUUGUUUUAUGGUAAGGUGAUUUCGUUUUGUAAUUUUCUUGAAUUGUUUAAGUGAACGUACGUUCUCAUGCAAUAAUGGAUAAUGCAUGCAUGGGUUUGUGUAUACAAUACAUGUAUUUGGCAAGUUUGUACUCCUUUACUUCAUUGUUACCCCGUCCCUUCUUUGUAAUCUAUUUUUCGAAUUUGAUAUAAUAAAUUCACUUCUUACCAUAAUUAAAUUUUAACAUUAUAACUUAAAAAGCCCUAUUGGAAAAAAUAAUUAAAAUGCCCUAUCUGUUCUUCUUACAAAAGAUGCUUGGAAGCUCGAUGUUUAACUUGUUGAAUGUGACCAUCCUGUCUCUAUAUAUCUGAAGACCCAAUAGAAAAAUCAAGACUCUUACUCAAUUUUUCUUUUUCCAAUAUAAGAGAUUUUUACCAUAAGAAAUUUUCAAAAUUUUAUUUAUUUUGGAUCCAUAGCAAAUGCCUAGGUGCAACCUCAUUGACGGUUUGGUUGAAUCAGAUUAUGCGGUUUGUCUUUGCACCGUGAGUAAAGCUAAAAUUCUAAAACUUGUCGAUUGCAGCAGAAUGGUUUCCAAUGCCCUUAAUUUGAAAACGUAAAUUUCUAAAACUUGGUUCAUAGACUUAUUUAUAAAUAUGAAAGUUGUUUUCCCAUCAAAUAUAACCAUAUAUAAGAUUGAUAAACAGAAACCAAUAGCUGGUUAAACCUUAAAAAAACGAGAAAUUAACAAGAAUUUAUUUAGUAAACUAUUUUACGAGUGGCCAUUUCUCUUUUAAUAGUAUAGAUUUCCAACACACACAAAAAAAUGUUCUAACUUUAUAUCUUGACUUAAUUUCACUAUAAAAUCCCUAAUAUUAAUUUUGUCUCAGUUCGAUUGGAUCAAUUUCAAACCGUGAAAAUUCCAUGUCUACUCAAUCCAUUUAAUCUCUAGUCGGUUGUCGAAAAAAAAUAUUAUAAUCUCUAGUCGGCAAAAUUUUGGUUUGAUCUCAAUUGGAUUUCUGAUUCAAAAUUAAUUAACAGUGAGUAAAUUAAUGGCAAUUUCCUUAUAUAUAAUGUUAAGUCUCCAGAGUUCAAAAAGAACAAUUGGUUUUUUAUUUUAACAUGGUAUCAAAGUCUAUAUUUGAUCUUAUAUUCUUUUUCAUUUUGAAAAAUCACAUAUUCUUUAUUUAAUGUUUCGCUUUUUUUUUGCUCAUUUUAAAUUAUAACCUAAUAUAAUUAAGAGAACAUCAAUACUCUAUUAUUGUAUAUGCGACCCGAUGAUAAUUCAAAAGAAUACCGGUAGUCUAUUGUUAUAUACUGUAUAUGUGAAGUUAUUUAGGAUUUAUGAUUUAAAGUUAUAGCGAGUUUGCAAUAUGAUUUGUUAACGAAUAUUAUUAAAUGUGAAGCAUGUUUUCUUUGGUAACAAAUAAUAUACUAUACAAACCUAAGCGUCAGAAUUUUGGUAUACAAUAAUAUUGGUUAUGUGAAUCAAAUCUUCGGACAUCCCAAAUAUAACGGGUCAACUUUCAAAAAGAAAUAUAUUCAGCAAAAGUUCAACUUGGUUCUCACUUAACCGAAUACAAACCUGAAAUGCCUAACGAGAGAACAAACUUGAAAGCUGAAACAUUAGAGCAAAAAUACAAACUUAACGAAGUUUGAUAGAUCAUGUUUAACGAAGUUGUCAAAGCGGUGUAUGGUAGGCAAAGCUGUGAUGGAAACCCUUUUCAAAAGUCUUUUCACCACUGACUGUAAAGGAAGUCACCAUUUGAAUAUUAUUGUUAUGAUCACUAAUGUUAUGCCAUUAUAUAUUACCUGUAGCUUUAUGUAUAGUCUUACAAAUAUGUGAUAUAUAGUAUUUAUAUUUGAUGCACUAACCGAAAAUUUCAGAUAUAAACUUCUUUCAUUUUUGACGUCUUUUUAGAUAGAUUAUGUAGUUAAUAAAAAGAAUAUAAUUGACCAAUAAAUACAUCAAUUUUAUAGUAAAGAAUGAUUUUCGCAUGAUGAUUAUAUAUUAUUAAUUGUAAGCCUUUCCAUGGAAUUACUAAAUUCUCGAUAUCUCUUAUAGUCAGCUAGCUACACGUGAGCCAUACACUAUUUGCAUGUUCGACCAUUAUUUUAUUAAUCGGAAUAUAACAAAAGAUGCCAUUAUUAAUUCACGAAACCAUAUGUUAUUUAUUCAGAGAAAAAAAUAUCCAAGUGGUAAGAUCUCGCACAUACCUGAUCAUUCAAUAUAAAUCAUUGAAAUGUAUUAUCCGAAAGAGAAAUAAUAACGAUGAUUUUGUCGUUAAAUAACUUAAUAAGUAAAAGUCAUUUGCUAAUAAAAACAUUUCACAUAAGAUUUUUCUAUAAUUAAAAAAAAUUAUCAAAAAAAGAUGCAACUUCUCCCAUCUUGUUUCUAAUUCUUUUUAUAUCUAUUUAAAACAAAAACUAUACUACAAAAAAAAAAAAAGAAGAAAAAGAAAAGAGAACUCUUAAAUUUUCUCACACACUAUACUAUGAUUUUGGGGAGUUUGGAACCAUCUAAAGAUUUCUUAAACCAUUUCACCAUUCUCUACAAAAAUCCAAUUCACGUUGGACUCAUAUCCAUCCUUUGCUCUAACUUUCUCCACAUUUCCAUCUGAUAGAAUUCAUGAGCUAAGACGAUUUGUGAAAUGAUUUUUUUAUUUCUCAAUCGUAAUAAACAUUGCAGUGUGUGUUUAUAUACAAUAAAUUAAUGUAAAUCGGAAUCUCAUGUCAAUUAACUUAACCAGUAAUCCAGCUACUCUAAUACCAUCACUUUUUAUUUUUUAAAUCUUUCUCAGAUCUACUAAUUUGAAACUUCAUUGAAAAAAACAAUUUUUAUCAGUUAACUAAAAAAAGGACAAUUGGAUAUAUCAAUUCUUACCACCGACUAAGUUGUUAAUUAAAAUAAGAACCAUAUACUCCUAGAGAUUACCAGCUCAUUUGAACAAUAGAAAAUAUUUAAUGUUCUUUAAACACAAAUAGUCAACUAAUCCCCUAGUAACGACAAAAUAUCAAUGAAACCUUCACAAUACUCUCCUAGUGAAAACCCUAUAAAUAGACACUAAACACUUUUUGACAAAAAAAAAAAAAAGACACUAAACACUUAACAUUUCUCUCCACCCAUCUCAAACAAACUUAAACGCACUACUACUUCUUGAGCCUUUUCCACUCCACAAAACAAAAUGGCUCCAAGAACCUCCCUUGCACUCUUCCUUUCUCUCAACCUCCUCUUCUUCACUUACACCACUGCGACCACAGGUACUUGUCCUAGAGACGCCCUCCAGAUCGGUGUUUGCGUCAGUGUGCUUAACAUAGUGGACCUAACAGUGGGAAACCCAGCCGUACAGCCAUGCUGCUCUCUCAUCCAAGGCUUAGCUGACCUUGAGGCUGCUGUCUGCCUUUGCACUGCUCUCAAGACUAGCAUUCUUGGAACCAACGUCCUUAACCUUCCCAUCAAUCUCAGCGUUCUCCUCAAUGUUUGCGGUAGGAAAGCUCCAACGAACUUCCAGUGCGCUUAAGUUCAAAACAAACUUAUGGCAUACCUA